CUCUAGCAAGACUGCCGGUGACAAACCGGAGGAAGGUGGGGAUGACGUCAAAUCAUCAUGCCCCGUAUGACCUGGGCUACACACGUGCUACAAUGGGAAGUACAAAGAGUUGCGAAGUCGCGAGGCUAAGCUAAUCUCUUAAAGCUUCUCUCAUUUCGGAUUGCAGGCUGCAACUCGCCUGCAUGAAGCCGGAAUCGCUAGAAAUCGCGGAUCAGCACGCCGCGGUGAAUAGGUUCCCGGGCC
RNAcentral lists this ribosomal RNA (243 nucleotides) under Enterococcus faecium. RNAcentral describes it as "partial 16S ribosomal RNA". It matches the Rfam family "Bacterial small subunit ribosomal RNA", at positions 1138 to 1380 of the family's 1533-position model. The record is from RNAcentral. Lineage: Bacteria; Bacillati; Bacillota; Bacilli; Lactobacillales; Enterococcaceae.